Molecule: ribosomal RNA, 423 nt
Filed under: uncultured bacterium
Lineage: Bacteria
Description: partial 16S ribosomal RNA
Rfam family: Bacterial small subunit ribosomal RNA
Source: RNAcentral
GAAUAUUGGACAAUGGGCGCAAGCCUGAUCCAGCCAUACCGCGUGGGUGAAGAAGGCCUUCGGGUUGUAAAGCUCUUUUGUUGGGAAAGAAAAGCAGUCGACUAAUACUCGGUUGUUCUGACGGUACCAAAAGAAUAGGCACCGGCUAACGUCGUGCCAGUAGCCGCGGUAAUACGAUGGGUGCAAGCGUUACUCGGGAUUACUGGGCGUAAAGCGUGCGUAGGUGGUUGUUUAAGUCUGUUGUGAAAGGCCUGGGCUCAACCUGGGAAUUGCAGUGGAUACUGGGCGACUAGAGUGUGGUAGAGGGUAGUGGAAUUCCCGGUGUAGCAGUGAAAUGCGUAGAGAUCGGGAGGAACAUCCAUGGCGAAGGCAGCUACCUGGACCAACACUGACACUGAGGCACGAAAGCGUGGGGAGCAAACA